GGGCACGUAGCUCAGUCCGGACAGAGCGUCGGACUUCUAUCCUCAUUGGGAUUGCAAUGGGGGAAGCCAUCCGAUGGUCGUGGGUUCGAAUCCCAUCGUGCCCG
RNAcentral lists this transfer RNA (104 nucleotides) under Natrialba asiatica DSM 12278. It matches the Rfam family "tRNA". From Rfam's summary of the family: Transfer RNA (tRNA) molecules are approximately 80 nucleotides in length. Their secondary structure includes four short double-helical elements and three loops (D, anti-codon, and T loops). Further hydrogen bonds mediate the characteristic L-shaped molecular structure. tRNAs have two regions of fundamental functional importance: the anti-codon, which is responsible for specific mRNA codon recognition, and the 3' end, to which the tRNAs corresponding amino acid is attached (by aminoacyl-tRNA synthetases). tRNAs cope with the degeneracy of the genetic code in two manners: having more than one tRNA (with a specific anti-codon) for a particular amino acid; and 'wobble' base-pairing, i.e. permitting non-standard base-pairing at the 3rd anti-codon position. The record is from Rfam by way of RNAcentral. Lineage: Archaea; Methanobacteriati; Methanobacteriota; Halobacteria; Halobacteriales; Natrialbaceae.